Wasmannia auropunctata (little fire ant) is the source of this 320-nucleotide long non-coding RNA. RefSeq lists it as uncharacterized. The record is from RefSeq and is a predicted model, not a curated record. Lineage: Eukaryota; Metazoa; Arthropoda; Insecta; Hymenoptera; Formicidae. The transcript has 3 exons.
ACCGACACGAAUUGAAAAAGUUUUCCGGCGGAAAGGCGGAAGGGUGUAGGCGGAAAGGCUCGCGUGUAACGUCACGAUAAAUCGUACGAAGACGUUGAUGGCCGACAGGUAGCUUGGAUAUUGCGCGUUGCAUCGUAUACACACCGAUCUACAGGGUGGAUCAGAAGUUUGCCAGAUCGAUAUCGUGAUCACGUUUAUGGUCUGUGGACAUAGGCUUCUCGGCAAGUUAUGCUUGCCAAGGACCAGGAAAAAACAUCAGAACGAGCCGAAGCAGCGUGAUGGCAGAUUUGUUGAGUUAACAUCGAUCCUGUUUAUUGGAC